Cannabis sativa is the source of this 557-nucleotide long non-coding RNA. RefSeq lists it as uncharacterized. The transcript is spliced from 4 exons. The record is from RefSeq and is a predicted model, not a curated record. NCBI's taxonomy places the organism in Eukaryota, Viridiplantae, Streptophyta, Magnoliopsida, Rosales, Cannabaceae.
CAGAGUAUAUCUUUGCUCGACCUUCCUUCUUCCUCCCCACUUCACUCAGCAACCCAGAAAAUAAAAAACCAGAGACCCCAUUUUCUCAGCCAAAACCCUCGCCUCCACCACCUUCUCCCCACCCUAUCUCCCUCAUUUCUCAACCAUUUCAGCCCAUUUUUUUUUAAAAAUCCUCCAUUUUCGAUACUUAAUAACAUACACCUAAAAAGUUUUGAUUUUUUAGCCUCUAAAAGUGUCAUCCGAACCCAAAUAGUAAAUUUUGGGUGUGAAAUCCGGCCACCCAUUUUUGUUGAGAAAUUGUUCAAUCUCAACCUCGUUUAAGUGUCGGGAUUUUUUACGGUGGUCGUCGGAUUGCGGUUAUUAGGGGUUCGGCAUAAUUUUGUGUGUAGCGUAUUUGGGCUUGCAAUUAUAGACAUGGCGAACUCAGAAUCAGGAUCUGAUUCGGGAGCAGAAAAUGAGUGUCCAACCACAAUACCUACACGAGGGCCGACGCAAAUGAAUGAAAUAUCCAAACUAAUGGAUCAGGGCAAAAGAGUGGCCCUCGAAGUUAAUGAUAA